RNAcentral lists this small nucleolar RNA (118 nucleotides) under Echinops telfairi (small Madagascar hedgehog). RNAcentral's name for it is "Small nucleolar RNA SNORA61 (ENSETEG00000026716.1)". The record is from RNAcentral. Lineage: Eukaryota; Metazoa; Chordata; Mammalia; Afrosoricida; Tenrecidae.
ACCUUCCUGUUUCUUACCCAACAGUCCUGAACACUGGUCUGAGUGGUCACAAAAGGAGGGAAAGUAACAUUGUUUUUUGUGACACACAAGUUACAUAGUUUCCAAGAAACAAACCGAC